UGGGGAAUAUUGCACAAUGGGCGCAAGCCUGAUGCAGCCAUGCCGCGUGUAUGAAGAAGGCCUUCGGGUUGUAAAGUACUUUCAGCGGGGAGGAAGGUGUUGAGGCUAAUAACCUCAGCAAUUGACGUUACCCGCAGAAGAAGCACCGGCUAACUCCGUGCCAGCAGCCGCGGUAAUACGGAGGGUGCAAGCGUUAAUCUGAAUUACUGGGCGUAAAGCGCACGCAGGCGGUCUGUCAAGUCGGAUGUGAAAUCCCCGGGCUCAACCUGGGAACUGCAUUCGAAACUGGCAGGCUAGAGUCUUGUAGAGGGGGGUAGAAUUCCAGGUGUAGCGGUGAAAUGCGUAGAGAUCUGGAGGAAUACCGGUGGCGAAGGCGGCCCCCUGGACAAAGACUGACGCUCAGGUGCGAAAGCGUGGGGAGCAAACA
This 427-nucleotide ribosomal RNA is filed under the name uncultured bacterium. RNAcentral's name for it is "partial 16S ribosomal RNA". It matches the Rfam family "Bacterial small subunit ribosomal RNA", at positions 355 to 774 of the family's 1533-position model. The record is from RNAcentral.